CCUACGGGUGGCAGCAGUGGGGAAUAUUGGGCAAUGGGCGCAAGCCUGACCCAGCAACGCCGCGUGAAUGAAGAAGGCUUUCGGGUUGUAAACUUCUUUUCUCAGGGACGAAUAGAUGACGGUACCUGAGGAAUAAGCCACGGCUAACUACGUGACAGCAGCCGCGGUAAUACGUAGGUGGCAAGCGUUCUCCGGAUUUACUGGGUGGAAAGGGCGUGGAGGCGGGGACGAAAGUCAGAUGUGAAACCCGAGGGCUUAACCUGUGGACUGCAUUUGAAACUGUGUUUCUAGAGUACAGGAGAGGCAGGCGGAAUUCCUAGUGUAGCGGUGAAAUGCGUAGAUAUUAGGAGGAACACCAGUGGCGAAGGCGGUCUGCUGGACUGCAACUGACGCUGAGGCGCGAAAGCGUGGGGAGCAAACAGGAUUAGAUACCCGGGUAGUC
This 442-nucleotide ribosomal RNA is filed under the name uncultured bacterium. RNAcentral's name for it is "partial 16S ribosomal RNA". It matches the Rfam family "Bacterial small subunit ribosomal RNA", at positions 338 to 795 of the family's 1533-position model. The record is from RNAcentral.